UUACGGCCAUAUCACGUUGAAACAUCGGUUCUUGUACGAUCACCAAGGUUAAGCAACAUUGAGCCCAGUUAGUACCUAGAUGGGUAACUACUUGGGAAUAUCAGGUGCUGUAA
Molecule: non-coding RNA, 113 nt
Organism: Acanthosepion pharaonis
Lineage: Eukaryota; Metazoa; Mollusca; Cephalopoda; Sepiida; Sepiidae
Source: the annotation of a GenBank genome assembly